This 494-nucleotide ribosomal RNA is filed under the name uncultured Tissierella sp. RNAcentral's name for it is "bacterial SSU rRNA". It matches the Rfam family "Bacterial small subunit ribosomal RNA", at positions 8 to 499 of the family's 1533-position model. Lineage: Bacteria; Bacillati; Bacillota; Tissierellia; Tissierellales; Tissierellaceae. The record is from RNAcentral.
AGGCUUUGAUCCUGGCUCAGGACGAACGCUGGCGGCGUGCUUAACACAUGCAAGUCGAGCGAAGUGAUUAAAAUGGAAUUUUUCGGAAUGAAAUUUUAAUUAUCUUAGCGGCAAACGGGUGAGUAACGCGUGAGAAACCUGCCUUUCACAAGGGGAUAGCCUCGGGAAACUGGGAUUAAUACCUUAUGAUACUAAGAAGACACAUGUUUUCCUAGUUAAAGCGCAAAGCGGUGAAAGAUGGUCUCGCGUCCCAUUAGCUAGUUGGUGAGGUAACUGCUCACCAAGGCGACGAUGGGUAGCCGGCCUGAGAGGGUGAACGGCCACACUGGAACUGAGACACGGUCCAGACUCCUACGGGAGGCAGCAGUGGGGAAUAUUGCACAAUGGAGGAAACUCUGAUGCAGCGACGCCGCGUGAACGAUGAAGGCCUUCGGGUUGUAAAGUUCUGUCCUAGGGGACGAUAAUGACGGUACCCUAGGAGGAAGCCCCGGCUA